RNAcentral lists this ribosomal RNA (253 nucleotides) under uncultured bacterium. RNAcentral describes it as "partial 16S ribosomal RNA". It matches the Rfam family "Bacterial small subunit ribosomal RNA", at positions 524 to 776 of the family's 1533-position model. The record is from RNAcentral.
UACGUAGGGGGCAAGCGUUGUCCGGAUUUACUGGGCGUAAAGCGCGCGUAGGCGGAACGAUCAGUCCGGUCUGAAAGCCCCCGGCUCAACCGGGGAGGGUGGCUGGAAACUGUCGUUCUUGAGGGCGAGAGAGGAGGGUGGAAUUCCUGGUGUAGCGGUGAAAUGCGCAGAUAUCGGGAGGAACACCAAUGGCGAAGGCAGCUCGCUGGGACGUGACUGACGCUGAGACGCGAAAGCGUGGGGAGCAAACAGG